RNAcentral lists this ribosomal RNA (301 nucleotides) under uncultured bacterium. RNAcentral describes it as "partial 16S ribosomal RNA". It matches the Rfam family "Bacterial small subunit ribosomal RNA", at positions 509 to 807 of the family's 1533-position model. The record is from RNAcentral.
CAGCAGCCGCGGGAAAACGUAGGGUGCAAGCGUUAAUCGGAAUUACUGGGCGUAAAGCGUGCGCAGGCGGUUAUAUAAGACAGAUGUGAAAUCCCCGGGCUCAACCUGGGAACUGCAUUUGUGACUGUAUAGCUAGAGUACGGCAGAGGGGGAUGGAAUUCCGCGUGUAGCAGUGAAAUGCGUAGAUAUGCGGAGGAACACCGAUGGCGAAGGCAAUCCCCUGGGCCUGUACUGACGCUCAUGCACGAAAGCGUGGGGAGCAAACAGGAUUAGAUACCCGGGUAGUCCCUGUCUCUUAUAC